This is a long non-coding RNA of Syngnathoides biaculeatus (alligator pipefish), 1398 nucleotides long. RefSeq lists it as uncharacterized. The transcript is spliced from 7 exons. Lineage: Eukaryota; Metazoa; Chordata; Actinopteri; Syngnathiformes; Syngnathidae. The record is from RefSeq and is a predicted model, not a curated record.
CAACUAUGUUCUUCUGUGGGUCUUUUGUAUAUAGUAUGCACGCAUCCAUUCAUUAUUUGAGCUACUCACCCUCACAAGGGUUGCAGGAAUGCCGGAGCCUAUCCCAGCUAUCAUCAGGUUAGGUUGUGGGAGAAGUAGCUCCAGCAGGGAUACCCAGACUUCCCUUUCCCCAGCUCUUCCGGAAGGAUCCCGAAGCGUUCCCAAGCUAGCCUAGAGACAAAGUCUGUCCAGCGUGUCAUUCAUAGGCAAUGCAGGGCUAAGCGUCUCUCCGAGGGACGCAAUGAUAUCAUGCACUCAGGAACGUGGGAGGCAGCAGGAAUACUUGGAAAGACUCGCAAAACCAUGAAGAGGACAUACAAAUUCCACACAGAAGUGCCAGGGUCAAAAUGUGAACCUGGACUUCUUGACUGCGAGGGAGAUAUGCUAACUACUUGUCUAGCCGCGGAAGGGGCUCCUCAGGAAACUCAAAAGUGGACUAUAGGUCGGCCUCUCUCCUAGCCUGGCAUAUUCUGUGAUGGCUUUCUCAAAUGAAGCAUGGAUGCUCGGCAACUUUGGAGCACAUCCGUGGCCGGGCCGAUUCCAGAGGUGGCAAAAGUACUGGGGAGCCAAGUCUGCGUGAAGCUGCCGAAGAGUGCCUGGUUUUCCUCGCAGACUUAAAUGACAUCUCCAAACAAAACACCCCUCAUUUCAAAACAAAGACCGAGAGUAUUUUGUUCAACUGUGUGAACAGACCGGGAAACAAGCAUCUGUUGAGGAAAACCACCGAGGGAAUUGAGAGGCCUCUCAAAGUCAGCUAGCAGGUUGCCGAAACUUCAUCGCCAAAUCCAAACAGUCAGUCGUGUUUGCGAGACAAAAAAAUACCACACGCCUUGUGAAAUCAUCCGAAAUGAGACGCUUGGCCCUGGCGCUCAUAAAGAAAUCCCAGAAGUAGCCGACGUUUUCCGCAACCUAUUUAUGCGAGCGGCGCUCUUCAAGCAUGACAACUGCCAUAAAAAAAAAUAAUUACACUUUUUUUUUCCUCUGAGUUUUUGCGGCUCUGCUUUCCAUUGCUGCAAUUAUAUCUCAUCAGUUCUUGAAGUUACGUGUUAGGCUGCACGGUGGCUCAGCUGGAAAGCAUUGGCCUCACAUUUCUGAGGUCCCAGGUUCAAUCCCAGCCCCGCCUUUGGAUGGCCAGAUGAUGAUUUGACCAUCGCUGGGCCUCUGGACUAUCCUGUAUGUACUUUGUUCAUCUAAAUCAGAGCUCCUCUGGGUGUAAUUCUCUGCUGGGUCCUUGCUCGCUACAAGAGCCGGAGCAGAUGGUUUGGUAUUGACUUGCAAGGAAGUCCUCCCUCCCCCUCCCCACACUACCACCACUACCGCUCGUGGGGGGGACAGGGUGUGUGUGUGUGUGUGUGUGUG